UCUCUCUCUCUCUUGUUCAUCUAACAUUCUAAAACCCUAGCCGCCGCUUUACUCAUUCUCUCUCGCUCUCAUCAGUCGUGGGGGCCUUCUCCAAUCGAAAGGUCGUCCCUCUCUCCAUCUUCUAGCAUUCUGUCGGCAGCAUACUCGAUGGGGACCGGCCUCAUCAUCAGUCCCUCUCUCGCUCUCAUCAGUCGUGGGGACCGGCCUGCCUGCUGUUGCCAAUGACACGGCUGGGCAGAAUACUCGAUGGAAGGUUACCCACAGAUUUGCAGCGGGUCCCAAAGCAGUGGAUGCCGGUAGCUAUCAGGGAGAUCUAGCAGAUCGCUCUGUCUGGGUUUUCUUCAUCCGUGGAUAUGUUUUUUUUUUUCUCUAUUUUUCUAUUCUUUCUUUGGUGAUUUUGAGUUCUUUUUUUUAAAGAGGAUGUUUGAAUGUGUAAGAAGUAUUCAGUUGUGAUGGGUUUUAGAGCUUCAGCUUGUCAAGUACUGGUUUACUGGUUUUUGUCUACCAGGCUUAUUUUUAUUGAUUGAUGCAUUGAUAGCAUUUUGCAAA
Long non-coding RNA from Carya illinoinensis, 549 nucleotides. RefSeq lists it as uncharacterized. The record is from RefSeq and is a predicted model, not a curated record. Lineage: Eukaryota; Viridiplantae; Streptophyta; Magnoliopsida; Fagales; Juglandaceae. The transcript has 2 exons.